This 497-nucleotide ribosomal RNA is filed under the name uncultured bacterium. RNAcentral's name for it is "partial 16S ribosomal RNA". It matches the Rfam family "Bacterial small subunit ribosomal RNA", at positions 28 to 507 of the family's 1533-position model. The record is from RNAcentral.
GACGAACGCUGGCGGCGUGCCUAAUACAUGCAAGUUGAGCGCUGAAGGUUGGUACUUGUACCAACUGGAUGAGCAGCGAACGGGUGAGUAACGCGUGGGGAAUCUGCCUUUGAGCGGGGGACAACAUUUGGAAACGAAUGCUAAUACCGCAUAAAAACUUUAAACACAAGUUUUAAGUUUGAAAGAUGCAAUUGCAUCACUCAAAGAUGAUCCCUCGUUAUAUUAGCUAGUUGGUGAGGUAAAGGCUCACCAAGGCGAUGAUACAUAGCCGACCUGAGAGGGUGAUCGGCCACAUUGAGACUGAGACACGGCCCAAACUCCUACGGGAGGCAGCAGUAGGGAAUCGUCGGCAAUGGACGAAAGUCUGACCGAGCAACGCCGCGUGAGUGAAGAAGGUUUUCGGAUCGUAAAACUCUGUUGGUAGAGAAGAACGUUGGUGAGAGUGGAAAGCUCAUCAAGUGACGGUAACUACCCAGAAAGGGACGGCUAACUACGUG